This 158-nucleotide unclassified non-coding RNA is filed under the name uncultured Ascomycota. RNAcentral's name for it is "sequence contains ITS1". The record is from RNAcentral. Lineage: Eukaryota; Fungi; Ascomycota.
AAGAGUUGCAAAACUCCCAAACCAUUGUGAACAUACCUUCAACGUUGCUUCGGCGGGUUGGCCCCGGUCUCCGGGGUCCCCGGCCCUACUCGGGCGCCCGCCGGAGGUAUCUAACUCUUGAUUAUUUUGGCAUCUCUGAGUAGCUUAUAAAUAAGUUA